GAGAAAGAAAGACACAGGGAAGCUGUCUUUGUGAGCACAGAGAGAUUUUGGAAUCCCUACAAGGUUGCUAUGAAAGACUGCCGUAAUGAUUUUCCUUAUCGCUUGAACUGAAUGACGGUGUUUAAUGAAACCGACUUGGUGCUCGGUGUGUCUAGGAUCUCCCGGUCAGGGACUGACAGCUUAAGGAGACCUGCUUCCCGUAUGAACUGAAUGCCAUCUUAAGGGUCGCAAGGGGAGGAUUCGUAAAACUUCCUAAAGUGAUCGGCCAUUAUGUCUCUAAUUUGUUUGGUAUCAUGUGUCCAACUAUUUGAUGUUUUUAUUUUCUGUAUGUAAGUGUUAAACUCACAUUUUUAGUUGGCCAUAGUACAAUAAGAAAUCAACGUGCAUGCACAUAGAGAUAAAUUUACUGAUUUACUGUAAUACAGGACAACUUGGUCAUGGUUUUGUGUGCUAGCUUCAAAUAAUGGGAAAGAAUGUGUUCAAAUUACUGUGUACAUUUUAAUACUAAGUCUUGUUUAUGCUUGCUGUCAUAUUCCGAGGCAGGAUUCUUUAUUAUCAUUAUUUUUAUCAUUUAAUAUGUUUCUGUUUUGGCGCCCAUUUAUUUAUCUUUUUUUAACCACCGUCUGGUUGCUAGACUUAGGGGCCGAUUCAUGAAGCUCGA
Xenopus laevis (African clawed frog) is the source of this 661-nucleotide long non-coding RNA. RefSeq lists it as uncharacterized. The record is from RefSeq and is a predicted model, not a curated record. The transcript has 3 exons. NCBI's taxonomy places the organism in Eukaryota, Metazoa, Chordata, Amphibia, Anura, Pipidae.